This 470-nucleotide ribosomal RNA is filed under the name uncultured bacterium. RNAcentral's name for it is "bacterial SSU rRNA". It matches the Rfam family "Bacterial small subunit ribosomal RNA", at positions 33 to 507 of the family's 1533-position model. The record is from RNAcentral.
GAGACGACGCUGGCGGCGUGCUUAACACAUGCAAGUCGAACGGAAAGGCCCUGUCUUUUGUGGGGUGCUCGAGUGGCGAACGGGUGAGUAACACGUGAGUAACCUGCCCUUGACUUUGGGAUAACUUCAGGAAACUGGGGCUAAUACCGGAUAGGAGCUCCUGCUGCAUGGUGGGGGUUGGAAAGUUUCGGCGGUUGGGGAUGGACUCGCGGCUUAUCAGCUUGUUGGUGGGGUAGUGGCUUACCAAGGCUUUGACGGGUAGCCGGCCUGAGAGGGUGACCGGCCACAUUGGGACUGAGAUACGGCCCAGACUCCUACGGGAGGCAGCAGUGGGGAAUAUUGCACAAUGGGCGGAAGCCUGAUGCAGCAACGCCGCGUGCGGGAUGACGGCCUUCGGGUUGUAAACCGCUUUCGCCUGUGACGAAGCGUGAGUGACGGUAAUGGGUAAAGAAGCACCGGCUAACUACGUG